RNAcentral lists this long non-coding RNA (1984 nucleotides) under Homo sapiens (human). RNAcentral describes it as "HSALNT0303126". Lineage: Eukaryota; Metazoa; Chordata; Mammalia; Primates; Hominidae. The record is from RNAcentral.
GAGAGUUUCAGCCUGGAGAGGACCACCCUGCUGGAAGGGUGUCCUGGGAAUGAAGUCCACGUAGGUGAGAACACACACCAGGGAUAUGUAGCUGGAUGGACUCAGCAGCCCUUGGGGAAUAAAGCCAGCUCAACUCAGCUGUACUUCUCACCACGUGGCAAAGGAUGGACCAAAGGCUGGGAGCAACUGGGAGUGUCUGGGACUGUGCCCCAAGGAAGCCACACAAACUGUGUAGCCAGACAGUCUGUCUGGGAGGAGAAGGAAGGAAUUUAUCUACCAGCUCCCAUCUCUCAUGGACCAAAUUCUUCCCCACUGUACAUAACUCCAUAUCACUUUCAGAUUGCAUAAGUUGUCUGCUGUUCUUUCGGGAGAGGGCUUGAAGGUUGAUUUUAGUUCCCUGUAACUGGAGGUGACAUGUGAAAGCUCAAAGCUAUUGAAAAGUUGCAAAGGCUUCCACACACAACUGCAGUAGGGAGGGCGCAGGAAGUGGGUCAACGCUUUUGGAGGACUGGGUGAAGUUCAGGAUCCUGAGGCCCUACUUUUUGGUCGCCCAGGGUGAGAGCUGAAUGUAGGCUCCAACAGGAAGACGGCAUUGAAGCCUGGUUGCUUGUUACUACUCAGAAUGCCAUCUACAAAAGGAAAUUAUGUAAAAAGCAAUAAAGAACCCCUUUUGUUCUUGCAGGAGUCAGUGUUUCAUAACUCUUUCUGUGAUAUCGUCUGUAUAAGUUGAACCUCUAAAGAACCUUAUCUAAGUUGCCACGACCUUACUCAUUACCCUCAAGAAAGAUGAACAAUUUAAAGGGGGAAAAAAGGAAGUGAAAAAAAUGGCGGAUACGAGGCAGAACUAACCUGCAGCUUCCACUCGAAGGGACAGAGCAGAGUGUGGAGACCCACAACUGGAACUUUUUCUCCAAGAACUACCACAGGAACAUACCAAGAAAGCCAAGAGAAUCCACAGAACCUUUGGAGGAAGUGGUUUGUCACUGCAGGCUCUGUGGGACAGCUGAGGAACUGCCAGCGUCCUCUUUCCUGUGUUGGUCACAUCCUCAAAUGCCUUUGGGGCUGGAUGAACAGUCGGCUUGUGGUGUCCUGAUGAGUGGCGACCUUCUCAGCGAGGACUGACAACCACACGGGUUCCUACUUCAUGACCAGACCAGGGUCACCAUGGAGACAUUUCUCAUUGGAUCAGCUUAUUAUGCCAUAGGAAACAUCUGAUUGAAAUGGAACUCACUGACCUAAAGCUCCUAAAAAAAAAUUUUCUAGGUCAGUGACAGACAAGUUGGCUGCUUCAAAAAAGGUAUUUACUGUAAUUCUGGAGAUCAUAUUGGGUCGCAAACUUGCUGCCUGUGAGUGCAAUCCAGCCCACAGGUUCAUUCUGUGUGACAGGCACUGUGUUUAAAAGGUAAGAAUUGGAGGGCCUUUAGGUGGGAAGUGCCCUCUCCAGUUUACAGCGAGCCUCAUCAUUUCCUAUUGUCCUAGACUUAGCCGCAUGACACAUUACAUGUCACCUGCCAGGCCUCUAAAAACGUGAAAAUCAUGACCUUCAGGCAUUCUGUUCAUGGUCCAUCCAUGUGCCCUGUGCCCUAGGUUUGACUUGAGGUUUCUCACCGAUGCUUCCCACAGCUGGGCCUUGUUCCUCACAAAGAGUUUCUGGUGAAACCAGAGUCAUAAAGACUGGAUUAAGAGGAAAGUCCAAGGAAUCCCAGGAUCUAAGAGCUUGCAGGAAAACUUAAGAAUUUGGGAUCCUGCAACCCCUGAUGAGCAACCUGAGACACAGAAAAGGGAAAUGCCUUGGAAAGGUCAGCCCCAGAAGGAAGAGAGCAGAGAGGGAAACCCAGGACUAGUGAUUCCCCAUCCUGUAUGCUUCACCCACCACCCCACGCAGCUGGCCUGAAUGAUUGGUGUAGCCCUUCCCCACAUUCCUAGAGAGUGUGUCUUUUACAAAGCCACCGUCCACACAUACAGAGUGGCACCAGCUAUGCAA